This is a small nuclear RNA of Heteronotia binoei (common prickly gecko), 102 nucleotides long. The record is from RefSeq and is a predicted model, not a curated record. NCBI's taxonomy places the organism in Eukaryota, Metazoa, Chordata, Lepidosauria, Squamata, Gekkonidae.
GUGCUUGGUUCUGCAGCACAUAUACUAACCCUGGGACAAUGCAGAGGAGAUUAGUUUGGCCCCUUGGCAAGGAUGACAGAAAGUGAAAUCUGUCCUGGCUCU